Molecule: ribosomal RNA, 1263 nt
Filed under: Lucanus maculifemoratus taiwanus
Lineage: Eukaryota; Metazoa; Arthropoda; Insecta; Coleoptera; Lucanidae
Description: 16S ribosomal RNA
Rfam family: Archaeal large subunit ribosomal RNA (bases 1023-1181)
Source: RNAcentral
UAAUAAAAUUAAUUAUUAAUAAAUUUCUGAGAGAAGGAAUUUUUAGUUUAUGUAAUUUUUGAUAAAAUAUUAAUAAUUAUAGGGGAUUUUUACAGUGAUGGAGAUAUUAAUAUAUAACAAAGAAUACUUUAUUUGUUGUACCUUUUGUAUCAGGGUUUAUAAAAACACGUUUUUAAUAAAAAUUUUCUCGAAUUUUAGAGGGCUAAGAAUUAAUAUAUUUUAAUGUGAAAAAAUUAUUUAUAAUUAGUUUUUUGUAAUUAGACGUUAGUCGUUCUUUAUAAUAUCUAGUUUCCUAAGAAAUUAAUUCAAUUAACUGAAGUAAAUGAUUUUUUUUUUAUUUUUAAUGGAAAUUUUUAUGUUUAGAAUAUUUAGAGGGAAAAGCUUUUAAAUAAACUUUUAUAACUGAUUAAUUUUUAAGAAUAUAUAGGAUUAGAAGUUUCCAUUUUUAGUGUGUUUUAACUAGAUUUUAAAAGUAAUUAAUUUUUUUUUGUUUAAGUAUUUUAUUAGGAUAAAGGCUUUAAUGGGUAAGUUUUGUAAUAAUGAUAAAAUUAGUAGAAUUAAAUGUACUAUAACAGUACUUAAUAAUAUAUUAUUUUAAGGAAUUAGGCAAAUUUCUUUUCGCCUGUUUAAUAAAAACAUGGCUUUUUGAUAAUAAUUUAAGGUCAGGCCUGCCCAAUGAUAGUUUAAAUGGCUGCGGUAUAUUGACCGUGCAAAGGUAGCAUAAUCAUUAGUUUUUUUAUUGGAAGCUGGAAUGAAGGGUUUGACGAGAAAGAAGCUGUCUUAAUUUAAUUAUUUGAAUUUUAUUUUUGAGUGAGAAAGCUUAAAUAGUUUUGAGGGACGAGAAGACCCUAUAGAAUUUAAUAGUUUAUGUAUUUUAGAAUUUUGGUUUAUGUUAAUUGAUGUAAAUUUAAAUUAAUUUGUUGGGGUGAUAGGAAAAUUUGAAUAACUUUUUUUUUGUAUUUUUCAUUAAUAAAUGAUUAUUUGAUCCAUUAGUAGUGAUUAUAAGAAAAAAUUACCUUAGGGAUAACAGCGUUAUUAAUCUGGAGAGUUCAAAUCGAUAGAUUAGAUUGCGACCUCGAUGUUGGAUUAAAAUUGGCUUUUGGUGAAGGGACUAAUAAGCUAAGUCUGUUCGACUUUUAAAAUUUUACAUGAUCUGAGUUUAAACCGGCGUGAGCCAGGUUGGUUUCUAUCUUCAUAUAAAUAAAAUUUUUUAGUACGAAAGGACCAGAAAUUUUCUAUACUAGAUAUAUGUUGAUUAAAAUU